AACGAACGCUGGCGGCAUGCCUAACACAUGCAAGUCGAACGAGACCUUCGGGUCUAGUGGCGCACGGGUGCGUAACGCGUGGGAACCUGCCCUUAGGUUCGGAAUAACUCCCCGAAAGGGGUGCUAAUACCGGAUAAUGUCUUCGGCCCAAAGAUUUAUCGCCUUUGGAUGGGCCCGCGUUGGAUUAGCUAGUUGGUAGGGUAAAAGCCUACCAAGGCGACGAUCCAUAGCUGGUCUGAGAGGAUGAUCAGCCACACUGGGACUGAGACACGGCCCAGACUCCUACGGGAGGCAGCAGUGGGGAAUAGUGGACAAUGGGCGAAAGCCUGAUCCAGCAAGGCCGCGUGAGUGAUGAAGGCCGUAGGGUUGUAAAGCUCUUUUAACCGGGAUGAUAAUGACAGUACCGGGAGAAUAAGCUCCGGCUAACUCCGUG
RNAcentral lists this ribosomal RNA (433 nucleotides) under uncultured bacterium. RNAcentral describes it as "partial 16S ribosomal RNA". It matches the Rfam family "Bacterial small subunit ribosomal RNA", at positions 29 to 507 of the family's 1533-position model. The record is from RNAcentral.